RNAcentral lists this ribosomal RNA (850 nucleotides) under uncultured bacterium. Its description in RNAcentral is "bacterial SSU rRNA". It matches the Rfam family "Bacterial small subunit ribosomal RNA", at positions 459 to 1320 of the family's 1533-position model. The record is from RNAcentral.
CCCGCUAUCUAUGCAGCACUAGNCGCAUGGNCGCGGGAUUCAGCAGCCGCGGUAAUUCGAAUGGGGCGAGCGUUGUUCGGAAUCACUGGGCGUAAAGCGUGCGUAGGCGGAUAUGAAAGUCAGAAGUGAAAGCCCGGGGCUCAGCCCCGGAAUUGCUUUUGAAACUUCAUAUCUAGAGUCCCGGAGGGGCCAGCGGAAUUCCGAGUGUAGAGGUGAAAUUCGCAGAUAUUCGGAAGAACACCAGUGGCGUAGGCGGCUGGCUGGACGGGAACUGACGCUGAGGCACGAAAGCAUGGGUAGCAAACAGGAUUAGAUACCCUGGUAGUCCAUGCCGUAAACGAUGUGUGCUAGUUGUCGGCCUCUUAGAGGUCGGUGACGCCGCAAACGCAUUAAGCACACCGCCUGGGGAGUACGGUCGCAAGAUUAAAACUCAAAGGAAUUGACGGGGACCCGCACAAGCGGUGGAGCAUGUUGUUUAAUUCGAAGCAACGCGAAGAACCUUACCUACACUUGACAUCCUGAUCGCGCUUACCAGAGAUGGUUCGCUUCAGUUCGGCUGGAUCAGUGACAGGUGCUGCAUGGCUGUUGUCAGCUCGUGUCGUGAGAUGUUUGGUUAAGUCCAGCAACGAGCGCAACCCCUAUCGUCUGUUGCCAUCAUUAAGUUGGGCACUCUGACGAGACCGCCGGUGAUAAACCGGAGGAAGGCGGGGACGACGUCAAGUCAUCAUGGCCCUUACGUGUAGGGCUACAAACGUGCUACAAUGGUUACUACAAUAAGCAGCUUAGUGGCGACACUCGGCAAAUCUAAAAAGUAAUCUCAGUUCGGAUUGUUCUCUNGCACUCGAGAGCA